GGUCCCAUAACUCAGUUGGUUAGAGUGUGGUGCUAAUAACGCCAAAGUCGUGGGUUCGACCCCCACUGGGACCA
The sequence is a transfer RNA, 74 nucleotides long. It matches the Rfam family "tRNA". Rfam says of the family: Transfer RNA (tRNA) molecules are approximately 80 nucleotides in length. Their secondary structure includes four short double-helical elements and three loops (D, anti-codon, and T loops). The record is from Rfam.